RNAcentral lists this transfer RNA (72 nucleotides) under Clostridiales bacterium GWE2_32_10. Its description in RNAcentral is "tRNA-Gln". It matches the Rfam family "tRNA". From Rfam's summary of the family: Transfer RNA (tRNA) molecules are approximately 80 nucleotides in length. Their secondary structure includes four short double-helical elements and three loops (D, anti-codon, and T loops). RNAcentral also lists the same sequence under 1 other name. The record is from RNAcentral. Lineage: Bacteria; Bacillati; Bacillota; Clostridia; Eubacteriales.
UGGGUAGUCGCCAAGCGGUAAGGCACAGGACUUUGACUCCUGCACGCGAAGGUUCGAAUCCUUCUUACCCAG